RNAcentral lists this transfer RNA (72 nucleotides) under Sarcophaga peregrina. RNAcentral describes it as "tRNA-Val". Lineage: Eukaryota; Metazoa; Arthropoda; Insecta; Diptera; Sarcophagidae. The record is from RNAcentral.
UUUAUUAUAAAUUGUUAAAAGUAAUUAUUAUGAGAUUUGUUUAAGUAUUUUAUAAAGAAAAAAUAAUUUUAA